RNAcentral lists this ribosomal RNA (393 nucleotides) under Zaitzeviola rufocinerea. RNAcentral's name for it is "partial 12S ribosomal RNA". The record is from RNAcentral. Lineage: Eukaryota; Metazoa; Arthropoda; Insecta; Diptera; Cecidomyiidae.
UAUUAUUUUUAUUAUUUUAACAAAAUUUAAGAGUAGUAGGUAUAAUUUUUGAAAUUCAAAAAAUUUGGCAGUAUUUUAAAUAUUUAGAGGAUUAUGUAUAUUAAUUGAUAAUACACAAUAUUUAUUUACUUUAAUUAAAUUAUUUUAUAUAUUAUUAUCAUAAUAUAAUAUUUGAAAAUUAUUAUAGAAAUAAAUAAAAUUAUUAAAAUGUUAAAUCAAAAUAUAAUUUAUAUUAAUGUCUAAUAUGUAAUACUAUUUAUUUAAAUUAAUAUAUUUAACUAUUUAUUUUAAAUUUAUUAUAGGAUUUAAUAGUAAAUAUUUAUAUAUAUAAAUAUUGAAUUAUAUUUAUAAUGUGCACAUAUUGCCCGUCGCUUUUAUUAAUUAAUAAAAUAA